UCCCAGCUGGCUCAGUUGGUAGAGCAUGUGACUCUAUCUCAAGGUUGUGAGUUUGAACCCCACAUUGGAAA
This 71-nucleotide transfer RNA is filed under the name Ailuropoda melanoleuca (giant panda). It matches the Rfam family "tRNA". From Rfam's summary of the family: Transfer RNA (tRNA) molecules are approximately 80 nucleotides in length. Lineage: Eukaryota; Metazoa; Chordata; Mammalia; Carnivora; Ursidae. The record is from Rfam by way of RNAcentral.